UUUCCGUAGGUGAACCUGCGGAAGGAUCAUUCAUAAUAAGUGUUUUAUGGCACUUUUUUAAAUCCAUAUCCACCUUGUGUGCAAUGUCAGGGUUGAUUUUUCUCUCGAGAGGAUCAGCCCCAACAUCAACUAUAUCUCAACUCUUUGUCUGAAAAAUAUUAUGAAUAAAACAAUUCAAAAUACAACUUUCAACAACGGAUCUCUUGGCUCUC
This 212-nucleotide unclassified non-coding RNA is filed under the name plant metagenome. RNAcentral's name for it is "partial contains small subunit ribosomal RNA, internal transcribed spacer 1, and 5.8S ribosomal RNA". The record is from RNAcentral.